RNAcentral lists this ribosomal RNA (765 nucleotides) under uncultured Streptococcus sp. Its description in RNAcentral is "bacterial SSU rRNA". It matches the Rfam family "Bacterial small subunit ribosomal RNA", at positions 28 to 776 of the family's 1533-position model. The record is from RNAcentral. Lineage: Bacteria; Bacillati; Bacillota; Bacilli; Lactobacillales; Streptococcaceae.
GAUGAACGCUGGCGGCGUGCCUAAUACAUGCAAGUAGAACGCUGAAGCUUGGUGCUUGCACCGAGCGGAGGAGUUGCGAACGGGUGAGUAACGCGUAGGUAACCUGCCUCUUAGCGGGGGAUAACUAUUGGAAACGAUAGCUAAUACCGCAUAAAAGUCGACAUUGCAUGAUGUUGACUUGAAAGGUGCAACUGCAUCACUAAGAGAUGGACCUGCGUUGUAUUAGCUAGUUGGUGAGGUAACGGCUCACCAAGGCGACGAUACAUAGCCGACCUGAGAGGGUGAUCGGCCACACUGGGACUGAGACACGGCCCAGACUCCUACGGGAGGCAGCAGUAGGGAAUCUUCGGCAAUGGACGGAAGUCUGACCGAGCAACGCCGCGUGAGUGAAGAAGGUUUUCGGAUCGUAAAGCUCUGUUGUAAGAGAAGAACGAGUGUGAGAGUGGAAAGUUCACACUGUGACGGUAACUUACCAGAAAGGGACGGCUAACUACGUGCCAGCAGCCGCGGUAAUACGUAGGUCCCGAGCGUUAUCCGGAUUUAUUGGGCGUAAAGCGAGCGCAGGCGGUUAGAUAAGUCUGAAGUUAAAGGCUGUGGCUUAACCAUAGUACGCUUUGGAAACUGUUUAACUUGAGUGCAGAAGGGGAGAGUGGAAUUCCAUGUGUAGCGGUGAAAUGCGUAGAUAUAUGGAGGAACACCGGUGGCGAAAGCGGCUCUCUGGUCUGUAACUGACGCUGAGGCUCGAAAGCGUGGGGAGCAAACAGG